This 869-nucleotide ribosomal RNA is filed under the name Pseudomonas aeruginosa. RNAcentral describes it as "bacterial SSU rRNA". It matches the Rfam family "Bacterial small subunit ribosomal RNA", at positions 1 to 865 of the family's 1533-position model. The record is from RNAcentral. Lineage: Bacteria; Pseudomonadati; Pseudomonadota; Gammaproteobacteria; Pseudomonadales; Pseudomonadaceae. RNAcentral also lists the same sequence under 1 other name.
GAACUGAAGAGUUUGAUCAUGGCUCAGAUUGAACGCUGGCGGCAGGCCUAACACAUGCAAGUCGAGCGGAUGAAGGGAGCUUGCUCCUGGAUUCAGCGGCGGACGGGUGAGUAAUGCCUAGGAAUCUGCCUGGUAGUGGGGGAUAACGUCCGGAAACGGGCGCUAAUACCGCAUACGUCCUGAGGGAGAAAGUGGGGGAUCUUCGGACCUCACGCUAUCAGAUGAGCCUAGGUCGGAUUAGCUAGUUGGUGGGGUAAAGGCCUACCAAGGCGACGAUCCGUAACUGGUCUGAGAGGAUGAUCAGUCACACUGGAACUGAGACACGGUCCAGACUCCUACGGGAGGCAGCAGUGGGGAAUAUUGGACAAUGGGCGAAAGCCUGAUCCAGCCAUGCCGCGUGUGUGAAGAAGGUCUUCGGAUUGUAAAGCACUUUAAGUUGGGAGGAAGGGCAGUAAGUUAAUACCUUGCUGUUUUGACGUUACCAACAGAAUAAGCACCGGCUAACUUCGUGCCAGCAGCCGCGGUAAUACGAAGGGUGCAAGCGUUAAUCGGAAUUACUGGGCGUAAAGCGCGCGUAGGUGGUUCAGCAAGUUGGAUGUGAAAUCCCCGGGCUCAACCUGGGAACUGCAUCCAAAACUACUGAGCUAGAGUACGGUAGAGGGUGGUGGAAUUUCCUGUGUAGCGGUGAAAUGCGUAGAUAUAGGAAGGAACACCAGUGGCGAAGGCGACCACCUGGACUGAUACUGACACUGAGGUGCGAAAGCGUGGGGAGCAAACAGGAUUAGAUACCCUGGUAGUCCACGCCGUAAACGAUGUCGACUAGCCGUUGGGAUCCUUGAGAUCUUAGUGGCGCAGCUAACGCGAUAAGU